AUGGGGCGCAGCAGGCGCGAAAACUCCGCAAUGCGGGCAACCGUGACGGGGCCACCCCGAGUGCCCCGAAGAGGGGCUUUUCCCCGCUGUAAAUAGGCGGGGGUAAUAAGCGGGGGGCAAGUCUGGUGUCAGCCGCCGCGGUAAUACCAGCCCCGCGAGUGGUCGGGACGAUUAUUGGGCCUAAAGCGCCCGUAGCCGGCCCGGUAAGUCCCCCCUUAAAGCCCCGGGCUCAACCCGGGGACGGGGGGGAUACUGCCGGGCUAGGGGGCGGGAGAGGCCGAGGGUACUCCCGGGGUAGGGGCGAAAUCCGUUAAUCCCGGGAGGACCACCAGUGGCGAAGGCGCUCGGCUGGAACGCGCCCGACGGUGAGGGGCGAAAGCCGGGGGAGCGAACCGGAUUAGAUACCCGGGUAGUCCCGGCUGUAAACGAUGCGGGCUAGGUGUUGGGCGGGCUUAGAGCCCGCCCAGUGCCGCAGGGAAGCCGUUAAGCCCGCCGCCUGGGGAGUACGGCCGCAAGGCUGAAACUUAAAGGAAUUGCGGGGGAGCAC
This 547-nucleotide ribosomal RNA is filed under the name uncultured crenarchaeote. RNAcentral's name for it is "partial 16S ribosomal RNA". It matches the Rfam family "Archaeal small subunit ribosomal RNA", at positions 325 to 879 of the family's 1478-position model. Lineage: Archaea; Thermoproteati; Thermoproteota. The record is from RNAcentral.